This 379-nucleotide ribosomal RNA is filed under the name uncultured bacterium. RNAcentral's name for it is "bacterial SSU rRNA". It matches the Rfam family "Bacterial small subunit ribosomal RNA", at positions 523 to 898 of the family's 1533-position model. The record is from RNAcentral.
AAACGUAGGACGCAAGCGUUAUCCGGAAUUACUGGGCGUAAAGGGCGUGCAGGCGGUUCUUUAAGUUAGGCGUGAAAGCUCCGGGCUAAACCUGGAGAGGUCGUCUGAUACUGGGGAACUAGAGUGUGGUAGAGGGGUGUAGAAUUCCGGGUGUAGUGGUGAAAUGCGUAGAUAUCCGGAGGAAUACCAGUGGCGAAGGCGGCACCCUGGGCCAUAACUGACGCUAAGACGCGAAAGAAUGGGUAGCGAACAGGAUUAGAAACCCCGGUAGUCCAUGCCGUAAACGAUGUGCACUCGGUGUUCUGACAGGGAAGCCUGUUGGGGUGCCCCAGCAAACGCGGUAAGUGCACCGCCUGGGGAGUACGGUCGCAAGGCUAAA